GACAAUAUUUGAUUCUUGUUACUAUAUUCCAUAUCAAAUCCUUUUAUAGGGUUCUGAUUCAUUCAAGGUUUAUGCUGACACAGGAUCUUGACCAAUAACAGAAUAACACCAUCAAGGAACUUCGAGUUAUCAACGAGACACCAUUUCUAAGAAACCUUAAGCAAUCUAUAAUGUAACUGUGAGUUUCCAUACUACUCUCAGAGUCAUACAACGCUUCACACCUUUAGAAAUAAC
Molecule: long non-coding RNA, 234 nt
Filed under: Lathyrus oleraceus (garden pea)
Lineage: Eukaryota; Viridiplantae; Streptophyta; Magnoliopsida; Fabales; Fabaceae
Description: Pisum sativum (pea) long non-coding RNA (PSAT_LNC027035)
Source: RNAcentral